This 493-nucleotide ribosomal RNA is filed under the name uncultured bacterium. Its description in RNAcentral is "partial 16S ribosomal RNA". It matches the Rfam family "Bacterial small subunit ribosomal RNA", at positions 29 to 523 of the family's 1533-position model. The record is from RNAcentral.
AUUGAACGCUGGCGGCAUGCUUUACACAUGCAAGUCGAACGGUAACAGGUUGAGCUGACGAGUGGCGAACGGGUGAGUAAUGCAUCGGAACGUGCCCGGUCGUGGGGGAUAACGCAGCGAAAGCUGCGCUAAUACCGCAUACGAUCCGAGGAUGAAAGCGGGGGACCGUAAGGCCUCGCGCGAUCGGAGCGGCCGAUGUCAGAUUAGGUAGUUGGUGGGGUAAAGGCUCACCAAGCCAACGAUCUGUAGCUGGUCUGAGAGGACGACCAGCCACACUGGGACUGAGACACGGCCCAGACUCCUACGGGAGGCAGCAGUGGGGAAUUUUGGACAAUGGGCGAAAGCCUGAUCCAGCAAUGCCGCGUGCAGGAAGAAGGCCUUCGGGUUGUAAACUGCUUUUGUACGGAGCGAAAAGGUCUCCUCUAAUACAGGGGGCUCAUGACGGUACCGUAAGAAUAAGCACCGGCUAACUACGUGCCAGCCGCCGCGGUAA